Molecule: ribosomal RNA, 319 nt
Filed under: uncultured eukaryote
Lineage: Eukaryota
Description: partial 18S ribosomal RNA
Rfam family: Eukaryotic small subunit ribosomal RNA
Source: RNAcentral
CCCUUAGAUGUUCUGGGCUGCACGCGUGCUACAAUGGCGUUUCCAGCAAGUCUGCGAACCCGAGAGGGCCAGCGGAUCUUCGAAUUGGCGUCGUGAUCGGGACAGUCGAUCGCAAUUAUUUGACUCAAACGAGGAAUUCCUUGUAAUCGCGAUUCAUCAUAUCGCGCUGAAUACGUCCCUGCCCUUUGUACACACCGCCCGUCGCUCCUACCGAUUGAGCGAUCCGGUAAAUGUUUUGGAUUGGUGCCGGGGCGGCUAGCUGCCGGUCGCUACGAAAUUUUGUGAACCUUAUCGCUUAGAGGAAGGAAAAGUCGUAACA